ACUCAAAUGAAUAGACGGGGACCCGCACAACCGGUGGAGCGUGUGGUUCAAUUUGAUACGAAGCAAAAAACCUUACCAGGGUUUGACAUUAUACCGUUUUAUGCCUAUGGAAACACUGGCAGAUCCGUAAGGAUGGUACAACAGGUGCUGCAUGGCUGUCGUCAGCUCGUGCCGUGAGGUGUUCCCUUAAGUGGGGAAACGAGCGCAACCCGCGUGAAAUGUUACAUAUUCAUUUCAGACGGUCCCAGUUUUACUGGGAAGGAAGGAGCGGAAGACGUCAAGUCAGCAUGGUCCUUACACCCUGGGAUACACACACCCUACAAUGGCGAAAAACAACGAGCCGCAAGUACGCAAGUGCAAGCAAAUCUCUGAAAUUUCGCCUCAGUUCAGAUUGGGGUCUGCAACCCGACCCCAUGAAGUCGGAAUCGGUAGUAAUCGCGGAUCAGCAGGCCGCGGUGAAUACGUUCUCGGGUCUUGUACACACCGCCCGU
RNAcentral lists this ribosomal RNA (491 nucleotides) under uncultured bacterium. RNAcentral describes it as "partial 16S ribosomal RNA". It matches the Rfam family "Bacterial small subunit ribosomal RNA", at positions 899 to 1397 of the family's 1533-position model. The record is from RNAcentral.